Molecule: ribosomal RNA, 380 nt
Filed under: uncultured bacterium
Lineage: Bacteria
Description: bacterial SSU rRNA
Rfam family: Bacterial small subunit ribosomal RNA
Source: RNAcentral
UAUUGGGCAAUGGGCGAAAGCCUGAUCCAGCCAUGCCGCGUGAAUGAUGAAGGCCUUAGGGUUGUAAAAUUCUUUUACCCGGGAAGAUAAUGACAGUACCCGGAGAAUAAGCCCCGGCUAACUUCGUGCCAGCAGCCGCGGUAAUACGAAGGGAGCUAGCGUUGUUCGGAAUUACUGGGCGUAAAGGGCGCGUAGGCGGACAGGUAAGUCAGAGGUGAAAGCCCAGGGCUCAACCUCAGAAUUGCCUUUGAUACUGCCUGGCUUGAGUUCAGGAGAGGUGAGUGGAAUUCCGAGUGUAGAGGUAAAUUCGUAGAUUUUGGGAAGUACACCCAGUGGGAAAGGGACUCCACGGGAACUAUAUUGACGCUGAGGGUGCGAAA